AGACUCCCUGCUGAGCAGGGAGCCCGAUGCGGGACUCGAUCCCGGGACUCCAGGAUCAUGACCUGAGCCGAAGGCAGUUGCUUAACCAACUGAGCCACCCAGGCGCCCUUAAAUGUAUAAUUUCAUGUAAUUUUUUUAAAGUAAACUCUACGCUCAAUAUGGGUCUUGAACUCACAACCCUAAGAUCAAGAGUCCUGAAUAUAUAUGCCCAUGACCAGUAUCAGUCAAGAUACAAGACAUUUCCAUCAUCCCAGAAACUCCUCCUCUUGUCCCUUCCAGUAAAUUCCCACUCCCUAUUGGCAACAACUAUUUUGAUUUCUAUCAUCACAAUUAGUUUUGUCUGUUCUUGAAGUUCCUAUAAAUGAGAUCAUACAAAACAUUUCCAUUUGUGUCCGGCUUCUUGGAGCAAUGUGUCUUUGUGAUUCAUCCAUGUUGUUGCAUGUAUCAGCAACUUACUCAUUUUAUUGCUGAGUAUUGCAAUUCUGUGAGAUGAUUACAAAAAGUUAAUCUGUUCCACUGUUGAUGAAAUUUGGAUUGUUCUUAGUUUGGGGCUACUAGGAAUGAAAAAUGCUAAAAACAAUCUUGUGCAAGUGUUUUUCUGGACAUUGUUUUCAUUUCUCUUGAGUAAAUACCUAGAGAUACAAUUGCAGGGUCAUAAGGUAGGGGCAUGUUUAACUUUGUAAGAACAUGCCAGUUUUCCAAAGUGGUUGUACCCUUUGACACGCUCAUUGUUAGUGUAAGAGAGCUCCCUGUUUCUCAUCCUCCUUAUUGGCACAUGAUGUAGCACUCUACUGAGGUCAGGACUCGGAUGAGCUAACAUCUGAGAUUCAUUCUCCCAUGGUUGUGCUGAUCUGGUUAUUCAGCACUGUUUGUUGAAAGACUUCUUUCCACGUUGCACUGUCAAGGGGCCUUCGUGAGGGUCUGUUUCUGGAAUUUCUAGUAGAGCUGAUGGAAAAAGGAAGGAAACUCUUUUUGGGAUUACCUGGUGUGGAUCAAUGCUUACAGACACAUUCUCUCAACAAGAAGACAUUACUGGCUUGGAGGCAUGGGUAACUUGGUCAGUAGGUGAUACAGCAUCCUUUAUUUUAAAAAGCUGAACGAUCUGUUAAGUUAAAGAGCAGGGCAUUUCGCCUAAGAUGACAUUUCCAAUUUCUUUGGAGAAAACCAGGAAACCUAGGCCAGUGUUUCCCUCCGUGGAGCAGUCAUCGAGAGCUGCGGAGCUGCCUCUUGUAGAAGGCAUGGGGUCGCAGGCUCACCCCCAUCUCCUCCAGGGGCCCAGCGGCUUUUCUUCUUCUUCUUUUUCUCUUGACCCCUCUUGGCAUUUGAGCGGGUGCAUUCUGGCUCCUGCCAAGUGCUCCAGUCCGCCGUCUAGGCCGCAUCGCUCCGCUGGUCCUGAGGGAUGGACAGGCACUGCUCCACCGGUCUGCUCCCACUCCGGCCCUACUUGUCCCGUAAAACGCCCGAACCCAGAAAGGGUGGCCUCGUCUCUUGUCCUCGGAGGCCGGGGGUGGUUUCACGUUUCCCGAGAGAGAGAGGCUUACGGAACCUGUCUUGCUUUGGGCGGGCAGUUCGCCCCCUUCACGAGGAGCACUCUCGAGGAGGUCUUCGCUGCUGGUCGGAGCUGUCCCUGUGCCACCAAACUUCCCCCUGGCACAGCCCCGGGAGCUUUAGCGCUUAGCUACUUCCUGUUCUGGAAAACUCUUUCUUCGUGUCCUGCACUUCACCUGGUCCCAUCACAUUCCUUUUUCUCUCUCCAAGGACUGUGUGAAGCAGAGUUUUAAGUGCCUCCACGAGUCACUGCUGUUUGAGAGACAUUGUAGUAAGGUUUCUGAAAGGACAGGACUUUGUGGGGUGUAUCUUUCAGGAUAGACUAGGGUAUGCUGCAAUAACAGGUUAGUAUUGAAACCCCGCUGCUAUGUGCAGCCACCACCGUAUCUUGCUUGGAGGGCAUCUGCUCCAGGUAUGGGGGCUCCUGAUGUGGUUCUCCAAAGCAAGUCGCCCUGCCAGCCAUGGCAAUGGUAGACUCCUUGGUUGGCACUGGGGGAAGGAGGAGUUGCACAGUGUCAUGGGGCUUCUUUAUUCCCUCAGCCAGGGACUGACCGAUGGUGCACCUCUGCUCACGUCUCAUUGGCCAGACCUGACCACAGAACCUCUCUGAACUGCAAGGAAGCUGAGCGGUCUGCUUUGCGUGUGCUAAGAAGAAAGCGCCUGGGUUGAGAUUUGGUGAACAAGCUGUGAAUAUGGGCUGGGACUCGAGGCUCCAGCCCCCUUGCUUUCUCUGAAACACAGUCCGUAUCCUGGUAUUCGCUUGACAACCCGUUCUAGAGGCAAAUGUCAGUGUUAACACUGGAUGCUCUGGAUUUAUGCACGUUCACUUGGCACUCAUCACGUAGCCCAGAGUAACUGCUUGAUUUAGAUGGGGCAGGACAAGCCUGGCCAGCAAUGAUAGCAUUUAGUUUGGUGACAUUAAACAUUAAACUAGUGAAUGCAACCCCUUAAUAAGAACUGGGAAUUUAAACACUCCUUUUAAGAACCACGUUGGUUGGGGCACCUGGGUGGCUCAGUCGUUAAGUGUCCGCCUUCGGCUCAGGUCAUGAUCCCAGGGUCCUGAGAUCAAGCCCCGUGUCGGGCUCUCUGCUCAGUGGGGAGCCUGCUUCUCCCUCUCCCACUCCCCCUGCUUGUGUUCCCUCUCUCACUGUGUCUCUCUCUGUCAAAUAAAUCAAUACAAUCUUUUAAAAAAAAGAACCAAGUUGGUUAUCAGUUAAGUAAUAUAUAAUCUUGGACAUACUGAUUUGAAAGUUAAAGUUGAAACCGAAGGCAGAAAAACAUCACAUAUUCUCAGUGAGGUCACCUCUAACUCUCCCCAACGUGGGAAGGUACAUGGGCUGGUCUACAAACCCACUCGUGGUCUGACCCUCUGCAAACCAGUUAGCCCUUCCUACUCUCUUUUCCCCUAAUUUGUUUUCUGACAAUAAAAAAGAACACAUGUUUAUUGUGAUAAAUUUGAAACUUAUUAACAAUUAUAAAGAAAAUAAACAGAAUAAAAUACU
Long non-coding RNA from Mirounga angustirostris (Northern elephant seal), 3050 nucleotides. RefSeq lists it as uncharacterized. The transcript is spliced from 5 exons. The record is from RefSeq and is a predicted model, not a curated record. NCBI's taxonomy places the organism in Eukaryota, Metazoa, Chordata, Mammalia, Carnivora, Phocidae.